UUUAGUAACAAUUUCCAUCAAAGAAAUGCCAGAAAUAGAGCUCAGAGCCUCUCCUUUAAAGCCAAAACUUUCAAGGGGAGUGCACAAGACGCGCAUGGGAGUCAAAAGAAGAAUUUACACCUACAAAAACUAAAGUUUCUUAAAUUCUGGGACAAAAUGGAGGUACUUCCCUCCAGAAAUUACACAACAUCAAAAUACAGCCAUUCCGAUGAUAUGCAUGCUUUCCCAGUGAGCUCUGGCCUUUAAGGAGAGGCUCUGAGCUCUACUUCUGACGUUUCUUUGUUGGAAGUCGUUGCUAAAACUCACGGGAGGCCAAAUGAACAUCGUAAGGUUUUGAAGGGCAAGUGUUUGUUCCUUGGAAUUGAUAAUUGUAGACAAGAUGUUGGUACGAAAGCUGUACUUUGUCAUUGUUUGCAUAUAGAAUCCGGAAGCCCAAAGAGGGUCUUGCAUUCUCUGGAAGAGACUCUGCUAAGAAUCGCCCUUGUGCAUUCCAGUGUCCCCUUCAAAAUUGUUGAUAUUGGUAGGUCUGUCUCUGUUAUUCAAACUAACUUAAGGAUAUUUCCUGUCUGGUAUCUUAGAUUUUGUUCAUUAGCAUGCCGUGAGGAUGACUUGCUUUGCACGCAUGCUUCUCCUUUUCCCCAUUGCCACUAUUGUCCAGUGGGUUUGGGAUUCAUCUGAGUUCCCUUUAUAAAUUGAAUGCAAGUGAUGGUUCAUUCAAACUCUCAGGAUACAUCUCAGAUAUCAAUUCAAGAUUUGUUUCCAAAGGACCAAUACAUAAAUUACUUAAUAACAUAGCUAUGAGUUUUGACAGUGCUUCUGACAUUGAGAAGCGAAGUAGAUCUCGGAUAUAUCCACUUUUUUUGUUGAACCUCAACUGUCCAAGAUCUUUAUAUGAUUUGACUUUGGAGCCUUCAAAGACCUCUGUGGAAUUUAAGUCUUCAAGAAAGGCAGCAGGAAAUAAUAAUAUUAAGACUGGUCAUGAUGUGCCACUCAUGCCAGGUGGAUGGGGACUCGCAUAAAUGGAUUGAUGCUGGAAAUCGAGGUAAAACAGAUGAUGAGCCCAUAAGGAAGAAGAAGAAGAGUAGAAGAAGUCAUUCAGCUCCUCCCUUUACCAAGGCAAGAAGAAGUUCCUUGCCACGAGUGAGUCUCCAAGAAAGGCUGGACGAAAUAACAAUAUUAAGACUGUUCAUGAUGUGCCACUCAUACCCUAAGUUGCUUGGACUCUCCAAAUAUGUUGCCACACCCGUGUCGGAUCCUCCAAAAUUGCACCACUUUGGAAGGAUCUGACACGCACUCGAUGACAUUUUUGAAUAGUCCGAGCAACUUAGCUCAUACCAGAAACUAGAGCAGUAUGGAGACUGCAUCAUUCUGCAGAAGCUAUCUGCUCGGAGCUUCCACAGCUGUCAUCCCACCAAUGCGAUCCAUAUACUUCAGCUAGAACAAUUAUUUCGUAAAUUUGCAGAUAGAUGACUUCAUGAACUAGACUAAUCUACAAUAUAGAAAAUCAUUCUUUUAGCUUUAACAGUUAAGCAACUGAUAUUAAUUGAAAUCCUGGCCAUCUAAAGUGUUGGUAUUAGAUAUUUGAUGCCUACUCUUUGA
This is a long non-coding RNA of Solanum tuberosum (potato), 1599 nucleotides long. RefSeq lists it as uncharacterized. NCBI's taxonomy places the organism in Eukaryota, Viridiplantae, Streptophyta, Magnoliopsida, Solanales, Solanaceae. The record is from RefSeq and is a predicted model, not a curated record. The transcript is spliced from 9 exons.